UAGGGAAUCUUCGGCAAUGGGGGCAACCCUGACCGAGCAACGCCGCGUGAGUGAAGAAGGUUUUCGGAUCGUAAAGCUCUGUUGUAAGAGAAGAACGUGUGUGAGAGUGGAAAGUUCACACAGUGACGGUAACUUACCAGAAAGGGACGGCUAACUACGUGCCAGCAGCCGCGGUAAUACGUAGGUCCCGAGCGUUGUCCGGAUUUAUUGGGCGUAAAGCGAGCGCAGGCGGUUUAAUAAGUCUGAAGUUAAAGGCAGUGGCUUAACCAUUAUUCGCUUUGGAAACUGUUAAACUUGAGUGCAGAAGGGGAGAGUGGAAUUCCAUGUGUAGCGGUGAAAUGCUUAGAUAUAUGGAGGAACACCGGUGGCGAAAGCGGCUCUCUGGUCUGUAACUGUCGCUGAGGCUCGAAAGCGUGGGGAGCAAACAGG
This 429-nucleotide ribosomal RNA is filed under the name bacterium. RNAcentral's name for it is "partial 16S ribosomal RNA". It matches the Rfam family "Bacterial small subunit ribosomal RNA", at positions 355 to 776 of the family's 1533-position model. The record is from RNAcentral.